AUUGAACGCUGGCGGCAGGCCUAACACAUGCAAGUCGAGCGAGCGGCGGACGGGUGAGUACUGUCUGGGGACUGCCCGAUAGAGGGGGAUAACUACUGGAAACGGUAGCUAAUACCGCAUACUAUCGGAUAACCCAUAUGGGAUUAGCUAGUAGGUGAGUUAAUGGCUCACCUAGGCGACGAUCCCUAGCUGGUCUGAGAGGAUGAUCAGCAACACUGGGACUGAGACACGGCCCAGACUCCUACGGAGGCAGAAGUGGGGAAUAUUGCACAAUGGGCGAAAGCCUGAUGCAGCCAUGCCGCGUGUAUGAAGAAGGCCCUAGGGUUGUAAAGUACUUUCAGUCGGGAGGCGUUACCGACAGAAGAAGCACCGGCUAACUCCGUGCCAGCAGCCGCGGUAAUAC
This 403-nucleotide ribosomal RNA is filed under the name uncultured bacterium. RNAcentral's name for it is "partial 16S ribosomal RNA". It matches the Rfam family "Bacterial small subunit ribosomal RNA", at positions 30 to 526 of the family's 1533-position model. The record is from RNAcentral.